UACAGAGGUCCCGAGCGUUGUUCGGAUUUAUUGGGCGUAAAGGGUGCGUAGGCGGCGGAGUAAGUUGGGUGUGAAAUCCCGGGGCUCAACCUCGGAAUUGCAUUCAAUACUGCUUCGCUAGAGUACUGGAGAGGAGGCUGGAAUUUACGGUGUAGCAGUGAAAUGCGUAGAUAUCGUAAGGAAGGCCGGUGGCGAAAGCGAGCCUCUGGACAGUUACUGACGCUGAUGCACGAAGGCCAGGGGAGCAAACGGG
This 253-nucleotide ribosomal RNA is filed under the name uncultured bacterium. RNAcentral's name for it is "partial 16S ribosomal RNA". It matches the Rfam family "Bacterial small subunit ribosomal RNA", at positions 524 to 776 of the family's 1533-position model. The record is from RNAcentral.